CGGCUGGUGCUGACCCCCGGGGUAGGAGGCGCUGGCGGCGGCGGCGGCGGCGGAGGAGGAGGAAGAAGAAGAAGAAGAAGAAGAAGGGGAAGGCGGUCCGGGGGAGAAAGGACUGCGGGAAUGCGGGAGGGACACGCUGCCCGGCGGCUCCCGGCGCCGCCCCGGCGGUCCGGCGCGUAGCUCCACCGGGGCGAGCGCAACCCCCCGAGCGACCGGCGCCGCUCCCCGCCGCCCGCCCGGAGGAUGGCGGCUGCACCCUCCCCGCCGGGAGGCCUGGCGGCUCCUAGGGUCCUGAAACGCGUUUUUAUCUUGUCGGUGUCGGAGACCCAGCCCGGCUUUACACAUAUCUUGAGGGACUUCGGGACGCCGGUUUAAAGUUAAAAGGAGAAAUCACCUCCCCUUCCCUGACUGUGAAGACAGCCUUUGCCACAGCAGAAGGACAUCCAAGAACAACAGGAAUGUCUGAUGAAAACCACUGUGUAGCACCAUGAAUUUAAAUCAAGACAUACAUUGCAGAGUGCAAAUGGCUGGAGAUGCAGAAAAAAAGAAAGAUGGAUGUAAGAAGAAUAUUGGACAAUGAUCCAUGAACUGCAAUUCUUCACAGUUAAAUAUAUUCUGUGACUUACUAGUUUUCCCUUAUAAGAAAUGGGAAUGAAUGUUAUUUUCCAUUUUAGACUAAUUGUAUAGCAAUUACUCAUGUUUUUGCUUCUUGUGCAGGGGGCAAACUAUGCAAAAUUAUUUUAAAGAUAUAUUCAAAAUUGCUAUUAAAAGUGCUUCAACAUGCAAA
Molecule: long non-coding RNA, 787 nt
Organism: Columba livia (rock pigeon)
Lineage: Eukaryota; Metazoa; Chordata; Aves; Columbiformes; Columbidae
Exons: 3
Source: RefSeq, a predicted model, not a curated record